GUACACUCCUACGGGAGGCAGCAGUGGGGAAUUUUGGACAAUGGGCGAAAGCCUGAUCCAGCAAUGCCGCGUGAGUGAAGAAGGCCUUCGGGUUGUAAAGCUCUUUUGUCAGGGAAGAAACGGUGAGAGCUAAUAUCUUUUGCUAAUGACGGUACCUGAAGAAUAAGCACCGGCUAACUACGUGCCAGCAGCCGCGGUAAUACGUAGGGUGCAAGCGUUAAUCGGAAUUACUGGGCGUAAAGCGUGCGCAGGCGGUUUUGUAAGUCUGAUGUGAAAUCCCCGGGCUCAACCUGGGAAUUGCAUUGGAGACUGCAAGGCUAGAAUCUGGCAGAGGGGGGUAGAAUUCCACGUGUAGCAGUGAAAUGCGUAGAUAUGUGGAGGAACACCGAUGGCGAAGGCAGCCCCCUGGGUCAAGAUUGACGCUCAUGCACGAAAGCGUGGGGAGCAAACAGGAUUAGAUACCCCUGUAGUCCCAUG
This 477-nucleotide ribosomal RNA is filed under the name uncultured organism. Its description in RNAcentral is "partial 16S ribosomal RNA". It matches the Rfam family "Bacterial small subunit ribosomal RNA", at positions 331 to 799 of the family's 1533-position model. The record is from RNAcentral.